Molecule: ribosomal RNA, 430 nt
Filed under: Fusobacteriota bacterium
Lineage: Bacteria; Fusobacteriati; Fusobacteriota
Description: Fusobacteria bacterium partial 16S ribosomal RNA
Rfam family: Bacterial small subunit ribosomal RNA
Source: RNAcentral
UGGCGAAUAUUGGACAAUGGGCGCAAGCCUGAUCCAGCCAUGCCGCGUGUGUGAAGAAGGCCUUUUGGUUGUAAAGCACUUUAAGCGAGGAGGAGGCUACUUGGAUUAAUACUCUAGGAUAGUGGACGUUACUCGCAGAAUAAGCACCGGCUAACUCUGUGCCAGCAGCCGCGGUAAUACAGAGGGUGCGAGCGUUAAUCGGAUUUACUGGGCGUAAAGCGUGCGUAGGCGGCUUUUUAAGUCGGAUGUGAAAUCCCUGAGCUUAACUUAGGAAUUGCAUUCGAUACUGGGAAGCUAGAGUAUGGGAGAGGAUGGUAGAAUUCCAGGUGUAGCGGUGAAAUGCGUAGAGAUCUGGAGGAAUACCGAUGGCGAAGGCAGCCAUCUGGCCUAAUACUGACGCUGAGGUACGAAAGCAUGGGGAGCAAACAGG